AGCUAGUUGGUGAGGUAACGGCCCACCAAGGCGACGAUCGGUAGCCGGACUGAGAGGUUGAACGGCCACAUUGGGACUGAGACACGGCCCAGACUCCUACGGGAGGCAGCAGUGGGGAAUAUUGCACAAUGGGGGAAACCCUGAUGCAGCGACGCCGCGUGGAGGAAGAAGGUCUUCGGAUUGUAAACUCCUGUUGUUGAGGAAGAUAAUGACGGUACUCAACAAGGAAGUGACGGCUAACUACGUGCCAGCAGCCGCGGUAAAACGUAGGUCACAAGCGUUGUCCGGAAUUACUGGGUGUAAAGGGAGCGCAGGCGGGAAGACAAGUUGGAAGUGAAAUCCAUGGGCUUAACCCAUGAACUGCUUUCAAAACUGUUUUUCUUGAGUAGUGCAGAGGUAGGCGGAAUUCCCGGUGUAGCGGUGGAAUGCGUAGAUAUCGGGAGGAACACCAGUGGCGAAGGCGGCCUACUGGGCACCAACUGACGCUGAGGCUCGAAAGUGUGGGUAGCAAACAGGAUUAGAUACCCUGGUAGUCCACACCGUAAACGAUGAUUACUAGGUGUUGGAGGAUUGACCCCUUCAGUGCCGCAGUUAACACAAUAAGUAAUCCACCUGGGGAGUACGACCGCAAGGUUGAAACUCAAAGGAAUUGACGGGGGCCCGCACAAGCAGUGGAGUAUGUGGUUUAAUUCGACGCAACGCGAAGAACCUUACCAAGUCUUGACAUCCUGUGACAGACGUAGAAAUACGUUCUUCCUUCGGGACACAGAGACAGGUGGUGCAUGGUUGUCGUCAGCUCGUGUCGUGAGAUGUUGGGUUAAGUCCCGCAACGAGCGCAACCCUUAUGGUCAGUUACUACGCAAGAGGACUCUGGCCAGACUGCCGUUGACAAAACGGAGGAAGGUGGGGAUGACGUCAAAUCAUCAUGCCCUUUAUGACUUGGGCUACACACGUACUACAAUGGCGUUAAACAAAGAGAAGCAAGACCGCGAGGUGGAGCAAAACUCAGAAACAACGUCCCAGUUCGGACUGCAGGCUGCAACUCGCCUGCACGAAGUCGGAAUUGCUAGUAAUCGUGGAUCAGCAUGCCACGGUGAAUACGUUCCCGGGCCUUGUACACACCGCCCGUCACACCAUGAGAGCCGGGGGGACCCGAAGUCGGUAGUCUAACCGCAAGGAGGACGCCGCCGAAGGUAAAACUGGUGAUUGGGGUGAAGUCGAACAAGGUAGCCGUAGGAGAACCUGCGGCUG
Molecule: ribosomal RNA, 1251 nt
Filed under: metagenome
Description: bacterial SSU rRNA
Rfam family: Bacterial small subunit ribosomal RNA
Source: RNAcentral